Molecule: transfer RNA, 90 nt
Organism: Toxoplasma gondii VEG
Lineage: Eukaryota; Apicomplexa; Conoidasida; Eucoccidiorida; Sarcocystidae
Rfam family: tRNA
About the family: Transfer RNA (tRNA) molecules are approximately 80 nucleotides in length. Their secondary structure includes four short double-helical elements and three loops (D, anti-codon, and T loops).
Source: Rfam
AGAAAAGUGGCUGAGAGGUUUAAAGCACCAAUUUGCUAGUUUGGUAUAUAAUUAAAUUUUAUAUCAAGGGUUCGAAUCCCUUCUUUUCUG